This is a long non-coding RNA of Chiroxiphia lanceolata (lance-tailed manakin), 456 nucleotides long. RefSeq lists it as uncharacterized. NCBI's taxonomy places the organism in Eukaryota, Metazoa, Chordata, Aves, Passeriformes, Pipridae. The record is from RefSeq and is a predicted model, not a curated record. The transcript is spliced from 3 exons.
GUCAGUACAGGACAACUGCUGGUCCAAGACAUUUCUCCCACAGCACCAGUGCAGUGGAGCUUGCAGCUCCUGAUUUUUAAUCUGAGGAGAGUGCCAAUCAGGCCAGGAGUUACAAUAAUAAUGAUAGGAAAUGAGCUGUAGUAUUUUCUGCAGGAACGACACAGAGCAUGACCAUAACCAAACUUCAUCCUGAAAGCAGCUGAUCCAAUCAACAGUUCAUACAAUAUUAAGUAUUUAAAACCAGCAGGAUUCAUGUUUCCUGCAAACAUACUGCUUUGUCAUUCCUGUAGAGCAUUUCCUGACACAGUUUCCUUAUUUAAAGCCUUUCUAAUAUAACAUACACAGUACAUCAGCUGAUACUUGUCACAGCUAUGCAACAGAGCUGCUUCAGACUCCUGCCCUGUUCAAAGACAGCUUGUGUUUGCCCCAAGUGCUGCAGGUGCUCCUGCAUUAGCA